ACGGAAGGCAGCAGUGGGGAAUAUUGCACAAUGGGGGAAACCCUGAUGUAGCGACGCCGCGUGAAGGAAGAAGUAUCUCGGUAUGUAAACUUCUAUCAGCAGGGAAGAAAGUGACGGUACCUGACUAAGAAGCCCCGGCUAACUACGUGCCAGCAGCCGCGGUAAUACGUAGGGGGCAAGCGUUAUCCGGAUUUACUGGGUGUAGAGGGAGCGUAGACGGCAAGACAAGUCUGAAGUGAAAGGCAUGGGCUCAACCUGUGGACUGCUUUGGAAACUGCCUUGCUUGAGUGCCGGAGGGGUAAGCGGAAUUCCUAGUGUAGCGGUGAAAUGCGUAGAUAUUAGGAGGAACACCAGUGGCGAAGGCGGCUUACUGGACGGUAACUGACGUUGAGGCUCGAAAGCGUGGGGAGCAAACAGGAUUAGAUACCCUGGUA
Molecule: ribosomal RNA, 434 nt
Filed under: uncultured Blautia sp.
Lineage: Bacteria; Bacillati; Bacillota; Clostridia; Lachnospirales; Lachnospiraceae
Description: partial 16S ribosomal RNA
Rfam family: Bacterial small subunit ribosomal RNA
Source: RNAcentral